Molecule: ribosomal RNA, 512 nt
Filed under: uncultured bacterium
Lineage: Bacteria
Description: partial 16S ribosomal RNA
Rfam family: Bacterial small subunit ribosomal RNA
Source: RNAcentral
GACGAACGCUGGCGGCGUGCCUAAUACAUGCAAGUCGAGCGGAACUGGGGGAGCUUGCUCCUUCCAGUUUAGCGGCGGACGGGUGAGUAACACGUGGGCAACCUGCCCUGCAGAUCGGGAUAACUCCGGGAAACCGGUGCUAAUACCGAAUAGUCUGGCGCCUCUCCUGAGGCGCUACGGAAAGACGGUUUCGGCUGUCACUGCAGGAUGGGCCCGCGGCGCAUUAGCUAGUUGGUGGGGUAACGGCCCACCAAGGCGACGAUGCGUAGCCGACCUGAGAGGGGGACCGGCCACACUGGGACUGAGACACGGCCCAGACUCCUACGGGAGGCAGCAGUAGGGAAUCUUCCGCAAUGGACGCAAGUCUGACGGAGCAACGCCGCGUGAGUGGCGAAGGUUUUCGGAUCGUAAAACUCUGUUGUGAGGGAAGAACACGUACCAACUAACUAUUGGUACCUUGACGGUACCUCACCAGAAAGCCACGGCUAACUACGUGCCAGCCGCCGCCGUAA